UUCGGGGUACUCGAGUGGCGAACGGGUGAGUAACACGUGGGUGAUCUGCCCUGCACUUUGGGAUAAGCCUGGGAAACUGGGUCUAAUACCGAAUUNNGAGGACCACGCGCUUCAUGGUGUGUGGUGGAAAGCUUUUGCGGUGUGGGAUGGAAGCCCGCGGCCUAGGAUNGNCCUCAGCUUGUUGGUGGGGUAAUGGCCUGACCAAGGCGACGACGGGUAGCCGGCCUGAGAGGGUGACCGGCCACACUGGGACUGAGAUACGGCCCAGACUCCUACGGGAGGCAGCAGUGGGGAAUAUUGCACAAUGGGCGCAAGCCUGAUGCAGCGACGCCGCGUGAGGGAUGACGGCCUUCGGGUUGUAAACCUCUUUCAAUAGGGACGAAGCGUGAGUGACGGUACCUAUAGAAGAAGCACCGGCCAACUACGUGCCAGCAGCCGCGGUAAUACGUAGGGUGCGAGCGUUGUCCGGAAUUACUGGGCGUAAAGAGCUCGUAGGUGGUUUGUCGCGUUGUUCGUGAAAACUCACAGCUUAACUGUGGGCGUGCGGGCGAUACGGGCAGACUAGAGUACUGCAGGGGAGACUGGAAUUCCUGGUGUAGCGGUGGAAUGCGCAGAUAUCAGGAGGAACACCGGUGGCGAAGGCGGGUCUCUGGGCAGUAACUGACGCUGAGGAGCGAAAGCGUGGGGAGCGAACAGGAUUAGAUACCCUGGUAGUCCACGCCGUAAACGGUGGGUACUAGGUGUGGGUUCCUUCCUUGGGAUCCGUGCCGUAGCUAACGCAUUAAGUACCCCGCCUGGGGAGUACGGCCGCAAGGCUAAAACUCAAAGGAAUUGACGGGGGCCCGCACAAGCGGCGGAGCAUGUGGAUUAAUUCGAUGCAACGCGAAGAACCUUACCUGGGUUUGACAUGCACAGGACGCCGGCAGAGAUGUCGGUUCCCUUGUGGCCUGUGUGCAGGUGGUGCAUGGCUGUCGUCAGCUCGUGUCGUGAGAUGUUGGGUUAAGUCCCGCAACGAGCGCAACCCUUGUCCUAUGUUGCCAGCGGGUUAUGCCGGGGACUCGUAGGAGACUGCCGGGGUCAACUCGGAGGAAGGUGGGGAUGACGUCAAGUCAUCAUGCCCCUUAUGUCCAGGGCUUCACACAUGCUACAAUGGCCGGUAYAAAGGGCUGCGAUGCCGUGAGGUGGAGCGAAUCCUUUCAAAGCCGGUCUCAGUUCGGAUCGGGGUCUGCAACUCGACCCCGUGAAGUCGGAGUCGCUAGUAAUCGCAGAUCAGCAACGCUGCGGUGAAUACGUUCCCGGGCCUUGUACACACCGCCCGUCACGUCAUGAAAGUCGGUAACACCCGAAGCCGG
This 1352-nucleotide ribosomal RNA is filed under the name Mycobacterium sp. DWMJ-1449A2. RNAcentral describes it as "bacterial SSU rRNA". It matches the Rfam family "Bacterial small subunit ribosomal RNA", at positions 81 to 1430 of the family's 1533-position model. The record is from RNAcentral. Lineage: Bacteria; Bacillati; Actinomycetota; Actinomycetes; Mycobacteriales; Mycobacteriaceae.